Molecule: unclassified non-coding RNA, 336 nt
Filed under: soil metagenome
Description: partial contains 5.8S ribosomal RNA, internal transcribed spacer 2, and large subunit ribosomal RNA
Rfam family: 5.8S ribosomal RNA (bases 1-120)
Source: RNAcentral
GAUGAAGAACGUAGCGAAAUGCGAUAAGUAAUCUGAAUUGCAGAAUUCAGUGAAUCAUCGAAUCUUUGAACGCACAUUGCGCCCGCCAGUAUUCUGGCGGGCAUGCCUGUUCGAGCGUCAUUUCAACCAUCAAGCCCCAGGCUUGUGUUGGGGACCUGCGGCUGCCGCAGGCCCUGAAAACCAGUGGCGGGCUCGCUGUCACACCGGGCGUAGUAGAUUUUAUCUCGCUCUGGGCGUGCUGCGGGUUCCGGCCGUUAAAAAACCCUUUUAACCCAAGGUUGACCUCGGAUCAGGUAGGAAUACCCGCUGAACUUAAGCAUAUCAAUAAGCGGAGGA